GGGGAAUAUUGCGCAAUGGGCGAAAGCCUGACGCAGCCAUACCGCGUGUGUGAAGAAGGCCUUCGGGUUGUAAAGCACUUUCAGUGGGGAGGAAAAGCGGGUGGCUAAUAUCCAUCGGCCGUGACGCUACCCACAGAAGAAGCACCGGCUAAUUCCGUGCCAGCAGCCGCGGUAAUACGGAAGGUGCGAGCGUUAAUCGGAAUUACUGGGCGUAAAGCGCACGUAGGUGGCUUGGUAAGUCGGAUGUGAAAGCCCCGGGCUCAACCUGGGAACGGCAUUCGAUACUGCUGAGCUAGAGUACGAAAGAGGGGGGUGGAAUUCCAGGUGUAGCGGUGAAAUGCGUAGAGAUCUGGAGGAACACCGGUGGCGAAGGCGGCCCCCUGGUUCGAUACUGACGCUGAGGUGCGAAAGCGUGGGGAGCAAAC
This 425-nucleotide ribosomal RNA is filed under the name uncultured bacterium. RNAcentral's name for it is "bacterial SSU rRNA". It matches the Rfam family "Bacterial small subunit ribosomal RNA", at positions 356 to 773 of the family's 1533-position model. The record is from RNAcentral.